RNAcentral lists this long non-coding RNA (1094 nucleotides) under Anser cygnoides (Swan goose). RNAcentral's name for it is "lncRNA (ENSACDG00005001559.1)". The record is from RNAcentral. Lineage: Eukaryota; Metazoa; Chordata; Aves; Anseriformes; Anatidae.
AUAAAAUUUGCCAUAGUAUAUCAUUAUUACCUUUUGGGAGUCUUAUUACAACAAUUAUGGAUGAUUAAGCUAUAUUUAAAAAAGGAGGAAAAAAGCAGUUCCAUGACCAAUAGCACUAACAAAAGUAAGUUUUCCAUAUUUGUUUUGUUUUUGUUGUCAUUCUUAUCUAGUUUGGUGUGAUAGAAAAUGAAAUCUUCCUUGAAUAUUUUCCUGCUGUACAUGUGUUUAUAGGAGGCCUCUGAGGUUGGGAUCUCUGUGUCCGGUAUUAUGUUUAUUCACAACUGUAUGCACUUUCCCUCAGUAGAUUGUCUACAGCUAAAAAACUCUAGUCGCUGUAAUUAUUCCCAAGACCUAUAUCUUCUACCAAAUCUGGUUGCAAUGAACCAUGCAGGAAUUAUCAGAAGUUACUGGCGAAUGUGGGAGGCACACAGGUGCAUUUGGAAAGUUACUUAAUGGCAGACUGAUGACAACUCUGGGGAAUGAGACUGAAUAAGGUACUGACAUCGAACCUUCUUUAUUUUGAUUUUUGUCCUGAAUGUUUUCUCUCUCACUUGUUUUCCUUUCAGGCUGGAAACCAGUGCGAGCAUGAUUACACGGAGGAAACUCAUACAGCUUUCAUCUGGCAGAAGGCUGGGAAGGACAGUUUGGUGCAAGGGGCAAACCCAAAAGCACCAAAUUUCUGCAAUGUCAUGUACAAGCAUGCCCUCCUCUCUGGUCUCCAAAAAUCUUGCUCUCUUGGCAGUACAGGAAGAUGAGUUUGACAAAGGCAAUUGAAACUUUGCUAAUGAAGAAUACUAGAUCCACCUUUAAGGAAUGUUAAGUAAGUGCUUUGUUUUUUAUGAAAGGCACCUCUUUAAUAUGUAAAGUAACUGUAGAAAUGUCAACAUUUCAUUCUUAGACACCUUGCUAAAUUCUGCAGAGGUUUAUCAAAUUACUGUUAGGUUUUUCUUUUCCUUAAUUAUAUCUAUUCUUACAGCAUUUCCUUGCAGUGAAGCUCUGUGGACCAAUCCUGAAAAAAGCACACUCAACGUUUGCUUAACACAGCUUAAUCAAACUAGUCUUCAUAUUGGCAAUCACUGCAUGGCACAAAUUUC